This 3077-nucleotide long non-coding RNA is filed under the name Homo sapiens (human). RNAcentral describes it as "HSALNT0107480". Lineage: Eukaryota; Metazoa; Chordata; Mammalia; Primates; Hominidae. The record is from RNAcentral.
CUCUAAUUUCAUAAUUAACAUUUUCAGGGUAAGAUGGAUAGGACAUCGCAGUUGCAAGGCUUUCAACAAAAGCCUGGAGAUACAUGAAAUAUUAUAUUGGAGAAAUUCGGCCUCAAGACUACUACAUCAACUCCUGCCUGAGAGCUUCCAGCCACCUGGCUUGCCCUAUGUAUUUCAUACUUGCCAGCCACCAUCAUUAGAUGGGGCCUUACUAUGUUUACACGGCUGGAUUCCACCUUCUGGACUCAAGCUAUCCUCCUGCCUCAGCCCCCUGAGUAGCUGGGACUAUAGGCAUACCUGAUCAUGCCCAACUUUCCUUUUUUGAAUGGGUGAAAAUUGGCCAAUUUUCAAGAUUCAGCUCCUCAAUGAAACCUAUCCUUUUUCAACCACCCAAACUGAUACUGUUUUCUUAUUUAUCUUAAUGCCAUAUUUAUAGUUGGCAUUUGUUAUCAUUCUAUCUUAUAGACAUACUAAGUGAAUGAAUAAAUGAGUGAAUGAUAAAAUGAAUGGAGGUAUUUCACAUUUAAAAAACUGAAUUAGAUCCAUUCUAUUUUAACUCUGAUCGUGACUGUUGAAAGUUAUAAAGCCAAGUCAGCUUUCAAGGUCAAAAGAAAUCAAGGUGAUGUGCAUAUUCUAACUUGCCCAUGGGCACAGCUGCUCCUGGCAGCUGUUAACAGAAACUUCAAAAAGGCUCAUUUCUAACAGAUUUGUGUGAAUUUUUUUUUUGAAAUUGAAAAUGUACAAAGGGAAGACCCAAAUUUUAAAAGGCAAAUUGAAUACGUGUCAAAAUCAGUCUUGGCAGAUACAAGAAAGCCAGUGUUUUAGUCCAUUUUGUGUUGCCAUAAAGGAAUAUUGGAGGCUGGAUAAUUUAUAAAGAAAAGAAGUUUAUUUGGCUCACGGUUCUGCAGGCUAUACAAGAAGCAUUGUGCUAGUGUCUGCUUCUGGUGAGAGCUUCAAGGAGCUUCCACUCAUUGUGGAAGGUGAAGGGGAGCAGGCAUCACAUGGUGAGAGAGGAAGAAAGCAAGAGAGGAGGAAUGUGCCAGGCUCUUUUUCUAACAACCAGCUGGAGAGAACUAAUAGAGUGAGAACUCACUCAUUGCUGCAAGUAUGGCACCAAACUACUAAUAAGGGAUCCACCCUCAUGAUCCAAACACCUCCCACUAGGCCCCACUUCCAACACUGAAGAUCUAAUUUCGACAUGAAAUUUGGAGGAAUAAAUAUCCAAUCUAUAUCAGCUAGAGAAUUCAGAACUAAUCUUGUUAAUCUGCACUGCAUUUCAUUUGGCAAUCACAUGGAGCUGCUUUGUAGAGAAGGUCAUCUCAAGCUUUAAUUACAGACAUAACACACAAGCAAUAAAUCAUUAGAAAAACAAGGUGAAUUUAGAUAGCAGGUACAACUUCUAUGCCACAACUAUCCAGAAAGAAGGAUGCUUGGCUACAUAUACUGGCCAAUCAGAAGAAGAGAGAGCAGGCUAACAAAAUUCUGAAGAUAGCACUGACUCAGCACCAUCAUCCUUGUGGCAUGAGAAUUCACAUACCCAUGGAUUUAGACUGGGAUGCUUGAUUUAAUUCCCCUUUAUAAGGGAUUAAAUUAACCUUGACUAGUUUAGAUCAAUGAAUCUCAGCAAAAGCAGAAUAACCCUUUCAGAAAUUUGAAGAAGCUUUUCUUUUUUUAAAAAAACUGUUUUGAUGAUUUGAUAGAAUUACAGGCAUUAGUAAGCAAGGGUAGGGGAAGGUGAAAGAUGCUAAAAGUCAUACACAAAAUAAUCCUUCAUAAGGAAGAAUUUUUGAGAGUUCUGCAAGACAUUCUAAUAUCCUCCUAGACAUUUGUACAGAAAAUUAUGUAUAAUAAAAAUUGCUACCCACCCAUUAUCACUUAUCUUAACAAUAGUUUUGCUUUAAGUUACAAGUUUGCUUGUAUGGAAUGGCUUCUCAUCUUCUAACUUCUCUUAAAUUUGAAUUUAUUCAUUUUAAAAUAGCAUAACAAUUUAGUUACUUGAGUACGUCUCUAGGUUAGUUGAGACUGAACAUUUACGUAUUGAACCCUAUAUUGUAGUAUUAAAAAUCACAUUAUUUUAUCCUUUGCAUUACAGUUAAAGCAUUAUAUCAAUUUUUUCUGAAUAAAUGAGUAGGCAAUUCUCAUUUUAAGAUAAAGAAGGUGUGAGAAAAUAUUUGUAUUGAAAGGUUAGCACUGAGACUGUUUGAACCGAGACCUACUGUCUUGCAUCAGUUAAUGCCAACAACUGGGUACAUGGCUGACAUAAAACAGAGGCAGCAUAAUAAAAGGCGAAUGACCAAUUUUUCUAUGUGUAUUCUUAGUACUUGUGAUUAAUCAUUUUAAUAAAGAAUUAUAUAAAUAAUUUCUUGUAAAAGAUAAGGUAUUCAAACUACCUUAGUACUUGUGAUUAAUCAUUUUAAUAAAGAAGAAUUAUAGAAAUAAUUUCUUGUAAAAGAUAAGGUAUUCAAACACAGAUGAUCUUAUUGUUGAUUAUUAGUAUGGAGCCCUUGAUAUAGUCUAAAAAUUUAUUUUGUAUAAUAAUAUUUUGGAGCUAUGUACAAUAUUUGAGAAUUAAAGAAUAUAUGUUAUUUUCUUUCUUUCCUUCCUUCCUUCCUUCCUUCCUUUCUUUCUUUUUUGAGAUGGAGUUUUGCUCUGUCACCCAGGCUGGAAUGCAGUUUCACGAUCUCAGCUCACUGCAACCUCCACCUCCCUGGUUCAAGCAAUUCUCUGCCUCAGCCUCCCGAGUAGCUGGGAUUACAGGCGCCCAACACCAGGCUGGCUAAUUUUUUGUAUUUUUAGUAGAGGCAGGAUUUCACCAUCUUGGCCAGGCUGAUCUUGAACUCCUGACCUCAUGAUCCAUCCACCUCAGCCUCCCAAAGUGCUGGGAUUACAGGCAUGAGCCACCACGCCUGGCCUAUGUUUUUGCUUUCUAAACUCUGGUCCAAUGCAAUGAACUUCUAUUUAUUCCUCAGGAUAUGUUGCAACAUAUUAGAGUUAUAUGCAAGCUUUUAUCCUUCUGGGGAGUCGAAUGCUUUUCCAAAGAAUAUUUUAUGCUAAUAAAAUGCGUGUUAUAUCUGCCU